CGAGAAGUAGCUAAGUGGUUAAAGCAUUUAUUUUUGACUUGUAAAUGAUGUGUUCAAACUCCAUUUCGC
RNAcentral lists this transfer RNA (69 nucleotides) under Schistosoma curassoni. It matches the Rfam family "tRNA". From Rfam's summary of the family: Transfer RNA (tRNA) molecules are approximately 80 nucleotides in length. Their secondary structure includes four short double-helical elements and three loops (D, anti-codon, and T loops). Further hydrogen bonds mediate the characteristic L-shaped molecular structure. tRNAs have two regions of fundamental functional importance: the anti-codon, which is responsible for specific mRNA codon recognition, and the 3' end, to which the tRNAs corresponding amino acid is attached (by aminoacyl-tRNA synthetases). tRNAs cope with the degeneracy of the genetic code in two manners: having more than one tRNA (with a specific anti-codon) for a particular amino acid; and 'wobble' base-pairing, i.e. permitting non-standard base-pairing at the 3rd anti-codon position. Lineage: Eukaryota; Metazoa; Platyhelminthes; Trematoda; Strigeidida; Schistosomatidae. The record is from Rfam by way of RNAcentral.